Molecule: transfer RNA, 71 nt
Filed under: Heliconius melpomene (postman butterfly)
Lineage: Eukaryota; Metazoa; Arthropoda; Insecta; Lepidoptera; Nymphalidae
Description: tRNA HMEL002692
Rfam family: tRNA
About the family: Transfer RNA (tRNA) molecules are approximately 80 nucleotides in length.
Source: RNAcentral
GCAUCGGUGGUUCAGUGGUAGAAUGCUCGCCUGUCACGCGGCCACCCCGGGUUCAAUUCUCGGCCGAUGCA